GAUGAACGCUGGCGGCGUGCCUAAUACAUGCAAGUCGAGCGAACAGAUGAGGAGCUUGCUCCUCUGACGUUAGCGGCGGACGGGUGAGUAACACGUGGAUAACCUACCUAUAAGACUGGGAUAACUUCGGGAAACCGGAGCUAAUACCGGAUAAUAUAUUGAACCGCAUGGUUCAAUAGUGAAAGACGGUUUUGCUGUCACUUAUAGAUGGAUCCGCGCCGCAUUAGCUAGUUGGUAAGGUAACGGCUUACCAAGGCAACGAUGCGUAGCCGACCUGAGAGGGUGAUCAGCCACCCUGGAACGGAGACACGGGCCAGGAUCCUACGGGAGGCAGCAGGGGGGAAUUUUUGACAAAGGGCGCAAGCCUGAUCGAGCCAGCCCGCGGGGGUGAAGAAGGCCUUCGGGUUGUAAACCCCUUUUGUUUGGAAAGAAAAACAUCGGGAGAAAACCCCGCUGUUCUGACGGUACCCAAAGAAUAAGCCCCGGCUAACUUCGCU
Molecule: ribosomal RNA, 497 nt
Filed under: uncultured bacterium
Lineage: Bacteria
Description: partial 16S ribosomal RNA
Rfam family: Bacterial small subunit ribosomal RNA
Source: RNAcentral